GGGGGGGGGGGCGCCCACGGGGUUUAAGACACGGAAUCCCCCCGGAACACAGCCGAGAGACGCGGGCUCGCGACAGCAAUUUAAUAACACCCCAGAGAGCAGCCAAGAAAAAAAAAGCACAAAUGCCCCUGGAUAGUGAUGUCUUGGGGAAUGGGCGCAUCUUCUCGGCCUAUGCGGGUCACUCCUGGAACAGUGACAAACAACAGAUGCGACCGCUUGGAAUACACGUGUGAAACUGAUGCCCAAGGGCAGCAGGGUAAUGGCCACGCUCAGCCUCCCACUGCCCAGACUGACCAGAUGAGGCGUAGCCGUCUGGACCUUCAGCCCUUUCCCGGUGUCGAUCAGGUCCAGGGGUGGAGACUGCAGGCAUCCGUCAGAUUGGAGGGCAUCUCCUCCCCUCGCAUUCCGGCGAUACGCUCUUCUCCUCCCACCUGACAAAGCCAGCAUUGUAUCACAGAUGCUGUUUAAUAUGGAGUCUUUCUCCUUGUGCCCCUCGUACAGAGCAGCGGCCUCACAGCAGUAAAA
Long non-coding RNA from Betta splendens (Siamese fighting fish), 525 nucleotides. RefSeq lists it as uncharacterized. Lineage: Eukaryota; Metazoa; Chordata; Actinopteri; Anabantiformes; Osphronemidae. The transcript is spliced from 4 exons. The record is from RefSeq and is a predicted model, not a curated record.